Molecule: unclassified non-coding RNA, 319 nt
Filed under: Dickeya dadantii
Lineage: Bacteria; Pseudomonadati; Pseudomonadota; Gammaproteobacteria; Enterobacterales; Pectobacteriaceae
Description: partial 16S-23S ribosomal RNA intergenic spacer
Rfam family: tRNA (bases 88-160)
Source: RNAcentral
ACCGAGUUGAAGUGCCUGCGUGGUGUCCACACAGAUUGUCUGAUGAUAAGAAAGAGUCAAAAGCGUCUUGCGAAGCUGACAAGUGAUGUCCCCUUCGUCUAGAGGCCCAGGACACCGCCCUUUCACGGCGGUAACAGGGGUUCGAAUCCCCUAGGGGACGCCAAUAUGACUGACGGUGGGUGAAAGGCACGGUCAACGCUAACCUAAAACUGAUUAGUCAUAGUCAGGUUUAUGUUAUCUGCUCUUUAACAAUCCGGAACAAGCUGAAUAAUUUGAAACGACGGCAUGCGAAUGUGAAUUUGCGUGCUGGUCGAGUCUC